AACGAACGCUGGCGGCAUGCCUAACACAUGCAAGUCGAACGGAUACCUUCGGGUGCUAGUGGCGCACGGGUGCGUAACGCGUGGGAAUCUGCCCUUGGGUUCGGAAUAACUCAGCGAAAGCUGUGCUAAUACCGGAUGAUGUCGAAAGACCAAAGAUUUAUCGCCCGAGGAUGAGCGAGCGUUGGAUUAGCUAGCUGGUGGGUUAAAGGCAUACCAAGGCGACGAUCCAUAGCUGGUCUGAGAGGAUGAUCAGCCACACUGGCACUGAGACACGGCACAGACUCCUACGGGAGGCAGCAGUGGGGAAUAUUGGACAAUGGGGGGAAGCCUGAUCCAGCAAUGCCGGGUGAGUGCUGAAGGCCUUAGGGUUGUAAAGCUCUUUUAACCGGGAUGAUAAUGACAGUACCGGGAGAAUAAGCCCCGGCUAACUCCGUG
This 435-nucleotide ribosomal RNA is filed under the name uncultured bacterium. RNAcentral describes it as "partial 16S ribosomal RNA". It matches the Rfam family "Bacterial small subunit ribosomal RNA", at positions 29 to 507 of the family's 1533-position model. The record is from RNAcentral.